RNAcentral lists this ribosomal RNA (253 nucleotides) under uncultured bacterium. RNAcentral describes it as "partial 16S ribosomal RNA". It matches the Rfam family "Bacterial small subunit ribosomal RNA", at positions 524 to 776 of the family's 1533-position model. The record is from RNAcentral.
UACGGAGGGUGCGAGCGUUGUCCGGAAUCACUGGGCGUAAAGGGCGCGUAGGCGGUCUGGUAAGCGUGUGGUGAAAGCCCGGGGCUCAACCCCGGGUCUGCCGUGCGAACUGCCGGACUUGAGCACUGUAGAGGCAGGUGGAAUUCCGAGUGUAGCGGUGGAAUGCGUAGAUAUUCGGAGGAACACCGGUGGCGAAGGCGGCCUGCUGGGCAGUGUCUGACGCUGAGGCGCGACAGCGUGGGGAGCAAACAGG